UAGGGAAUCUUCCGCAAUGGACGAAAGUCUGACGGAGCAACGCCGCGUGAGUGAAGAAGGAUUUCGGUUCGUAAAACUCUGUUGUUAGGGAAGAAAAAAUGUAUAGUAACUAUAUACAGAAGAGACGGUACCUAACCAGAAAGCCACGGCUAACUACGUGCCAGCAGCCGCGGUAAUACGUAGGUGGCAAGCGUUGUCCGGAAUUAUUGGGCGUAAAGCGCGCGCAGGUGGUUUAGAAAGUCUGAUGUGAAAGCCCACGGCUCAACCGUGGAGGGUCAUUGGAAACUAAUAAACUUGAGUGCAGGAGAGAAAAGUGGAAUUCCUAGUGUAGCGGUGAAAUGCGUAGAGAUUAGGAGGAACACCGGUGGCGAAAGCGGCUUUUUGGCCUGCAACUGACACUGAGGCGCGAAAGCGUGGGGAGCAAACAGG
This 429-nucleotide ribosomal RNA is filed under the name Verrucomicrobiota bacterium. RNAcentral's name for it is "Verrucomicrobia bacterium partial 16S ribosomal RNA". It matches the Rfam family "Bacterial small subunit ribosomal RNA", at positions 355 to 776 of the family's 1533-position model. Lineage: Bacteria; Pseudomonadati; Verrucomicrobiota. The record is from RNAcentral.